RNAcentral lists this ribosomal RNA (465 nucleotides) under uncultured bacterium. Its description in RNAcentral is "bacterial SSU rRNA". It matches the Rfam family "Bacterial small subunit ribosomal RNA", at positions 28 to 475 of the family's 1533-position model. The record is from RNAcentral.
GACGAACGCNGGCGGCGUGCCUAAUACAUGCAAGUAGAACGCUGAAGAGAGGAGCUUGCUCUUCUUGGAUGAGUUGCGAACGGGUGAGUAACGCGUAGGUAACCUGCCUGGUAGCGGGGGAUAACUAUUGGAAACGAUAGCUAAUACCGCAUAAAAUUGAUUAUUGCAUGAUAAUUAAUUGAAAGAUGCAAUUGCAUCACUACCAGAUGGACCUGCGUUGUAUUAGCUAGUUGGUGAGGUAACGGCUCACCAAGGCGACGAUACAUAGCCGACCUGAGAGGGUGAUCGGCCACACUGGGACUGAGACACGGCCCAGACUCCUACGGGAGGCAGCAGUAGGGAAUCUUCGGCAAUGGGGGGAACCCUGACCGAGCAACGCCGCGUGAGUGAAGAAGGUUUUCGGAUCGUAAAGCUCUGUUGUAAGAGAAGAACGGGUGUGAGAGUGGAAAGUUCACACUGNGACGG